Molecule: long non-coding RNA, 483 nt
Filed under: Fukomys damarensis (Damara mole-rat)
Lineage: Eukaryota; Metazoa; Chordata; Mammalia; Rodentia; Bathyergidae
Description: lncRNA (ENSFDAG00000021627.1)
Source: RNAcentral
GUUUGGAGCAAAGGACCUCUAAUGUUCUCUCUCUAUUUAAAAAUUCUACAAGUAAAUGGUUGCUAUGCCUACCCCCGGCAGUUGGCUGUUUUUUUGUUUUUGUUUUUUUUUUUUUGUUGCCAUGGGCAUGAUUCCAGUUCUCUCUGAAUUGGCUUAGGCUAGAGAGCAGUUGUCCUUGCCUAAGAACUCUGGGGCCAUGAAAGGAGGUUGCUUGGUGAUGGGUUGGAACAUACUGAUGGCACACCCAGUGUGAAGGAGAAGAUGAAAUGUUCCAGAAUAUUCUCUGGUGCCCACGGCUGUAAGCACUGGUCACCAGCUGCCAAAUGUACCUGGUGUCAACCUAGAAGUUCAAGGCGAUCGCUGUAUGUAAAGCUUCAAGGCUUAAACCUUCUACAAGGUGACUGUACAUAUCGGAAAGUGGAAGCCCAUUACUGGUGAAGUGUGGAUACUAUUUGAAUAUUAAACUGACGUUUUCCUCCCAUU